RNAcentral lists this long non-coding RNA (270 nucleotides) under Malus domestica (apple). Its description in RNAcentral is "long non-coding RNA (MDOM_LNC012814)". Lineage: Eukaryota; Viridiplantae; Streptophyta; Magnoliopsida; Rosales; Rosaceae. The record is from RNAcentral.
UAAGAUACAGUUAUGCUCAAUUCUACUUUCUCAAUACUAGCUGUGCGAUAAUACAUUAGUCACCUAUGAGUCGGAACCACCUAUAGUGGUCUGUACGACAAGACUGUGCACCUAAUUGGAUCCAAUGUGAGCAUAUGGUGCGGGGGGGCGACAUAAUUUACAGGCAUGUGCCAACUCCCUCUGGCUAAAUUGUAAUCACCCGAGGUGUAGGUUUAUGAGCUCAUCGUUUCUCAGUCACAUCUCAUAUAUCCGACCAAACAUGUUCAUCAC